RNAcentral lists this ribosomal RNA (446 nucleotides) under uncultured bacterium. RNAcentral describes it as "SSU rRNA". It matches the Rfam family "Bacterial small subunit ribosomal RNA", at positions 26 to 518 of the family's 1533-position model. The record is from RNAcentral.
AGAGCGAACGCUGGCGGCAGGCUUAACACAUGCAAGUCGAGCGGGCGUAGCAAUACGUCAGCGGCAGACGGGUGAGUAACGCGUGGGAACAUACCUUUUGGUUCGGAACAACACAGGGAAACUUGUGCUAAUACCGGAUAAGCCCUUACGGGGAAAGAUUUAUCGCCGAAAGAUUGGCCCGCGUCUGAUUAGCUAGUUGGUGAGGUAACGGCUCACCAAGGCGACGAUCAGUAGCUGGUCUGAGAGGAUGAUCAGCCACACUGGGAUUGAGAACGGCCCAGACUCCGUACGGGGGCAGCAGUGAGGAAUUUCGUCAAUGGGGAAACCCUGAACGAGCAACGCCGCGUGCAGGAAGAAGGUUUUCGGAUCGUAAACUGCUUUUCUCUGGGACGAGAACGGACGGUACCAGAGGAAUCAGCCCCGGCUAACUACGCGCCAGCAGCCGC